RNAcentral lists this ribosomal RNA (496 nucleotides) under uncultured bacterium. Its description in RNAcentral is "partial 16S ribosomal RNA". It matches the Rfam family "Bacterial small subunit ribosomal RNA", at positions 28 to 506 of the family's 1533-position model. The record is from RNAcentral.
GAUGAACGCUGGCGGCGUGCCUAAUACAUGCAAGUCGAGCGAACAGACGAGGAGCUUGCUCCUCUGACGUUAGCGGCGGACGGGUGAGUAACACGUGGAUGACCUACCUAUAAGACUGGGAUAACUUCGGGAAACCGGAGCUAAUACCGGAUAAUAUAUUGAACCGCAUGGUUCAAUAGUGAAAGACGGUUUUGCUGUCACUUAUAGAUGGAUCCGCGCCGCAUUAGCUAGUUGGUAAGGUAACGGCUUACCAAGGCAACGAUGCGUAGCCGACCUGAGAGGGGGAUCGGCCACACUGGAACUGAGACACGGUCCAGACUCCUACGGGAGGCAGCAGUAGGGAAGCUUCCGCAAUGGGCGAAAGCCUGACGGAGCAACGCCGCGUGAGUGAUGAAGGUCUGCGGAUCGUAAAACGCUGUUAUUAGGGAAGAACAAAUGUGUAAGUAACUAUGCACGUCUUGACGGUACCUAAACAGAAAGCCACGGCUAACUACGU